GGCUAGGUAGCCAAGCCCGGUUAAGGCAACCGCCUGCAGAGCGGUCAUUUGGGGGUUCAAAUCCCUCCCUAGCCU
RNAcentral lists this transfer RNA (75 nucleotides) under Nanobdellota archaeon. RNAcentral's name for it is "tRNA-Cys". It matches the Rfam family "tRNA". Rfam says of the family: Transfer RNA (tRNA) molecules are approximately 80 nucleotides in length. Their secondary structure includes four short double-helical elements and three loops (D, anti-codon, and T loops). Further hydrogen bonds mediate the characteristic L-shaped molecular structure. tRNAs have two regions of fundamental functional importance: the anti-codon, which is responsible for specific mRNA codon recognition, and the 3' end, to which the tRNAs corresponding amino acid is attached (by aminoacyl-tRNA synthetases). tRNAs cope with the degeneracy of the genetic code in two manners: having more than one tRNA (with a specific anti-codon) for a particular amino acid; and 'wobble' base-pairing, i.e. permitting non-standard base-pairing at the 3rd anti-codon position. RNAcentral also lists the same sequence under 2 other names. The record is from RNAcentral. Lineage: Archaea; Nanobdellati; Nanobdellota.